This is a ribosomal RNA of Oncorhynchus mykiss (rainbow trout), 109 nucleotides long. Lineage: Eukaryota; Metazoa; Chordata; Actinopteri; Salmoniformes; Salmonidae. The record is from Ensembl.
GCUUACGGCCACACCGGCCUGAGUACGCCUGAUCUCGGAAGCUAAGCAGGGUCGGGCCUGGUUAGUACUUGGAUGGGAGACCGCCUGGGAAUACCAGGUGCUGUAAGCU